AGUGAACGCUGGCGGUAGGCCUAACACAUGCAAGUCGAACGGCAGCACAGGAGAGCUUGCUCUCUGGGUGGCGAGUGGCGGACGGGUGAGGAAUACAUCGGAAUCUACUUUUUCGUGGGGGAUAACGUAGGGAAACUUACGCUAAUACCGCAUACGGCCUACGGGUGAAAGCAGGGGAUCUUCGGACCUUGCGCGAUUGAAUGAGCCGAUGUCGGAUUAGCUAGUUGGCGGGGUAAAGGCCCACCAAGGCGACGAUCCGUAGCUGGUCUGAGAGGAUGAUCAGCCACACUGGAACUGAGACACGGUCCAGACUCCUACGGGAGGCAGCAGUGGGGAAUAUUGGACAAUGGGCGCAAGCCUGAUCCAGCCAUACCGCGUGGGUGAAGAAGGCCUUCGGGUUGUAAGGCCCUUUUGUUGGGAAAGAAAUCCAGCUGGUUAAUACCCGGUUGGGAUGACGGUACCCAAAGAAUAAGCACCGGCUAACUUCGUGCCAGCCGCCGCAGUAA
RNAcentral lists this ribosomal RNA (506 nucleotides) under uncultured bacterium. RNAcentral's name for it is "partial 16S ribosomal RNA". It matches the Rfam family "Bacterial small subunit ribosomal RNA", at positions 29 to 523 of the family's 1533-position model. The record is from RNAcentral.